Molecule: ribosomal RNA, 201 nt
Filed under: uncultured bacterium
Lineage: Bacteria
Description: partial 16S ribosomal RNA
Rfam family: Bacterial small subunit ribosomal RNA
Source: RNAcentral
GUAGUCUGCAACUCGACUACAUGAAGCUGGAAUCGCUAGUAAUCGCGGAUCAGAAUGCCGCGGUGAAUACGUUCCCGGGUCUUGUACACACCGCCCGUCACACCAUGGGAGUCGGAAAUGCCCGAAGUCUGUGACCGAACCGAAAGGAAGGAGCAGCCGAAGGCAGGUCGGAUGACUGGGGUGAAGUCGUAACAAGGUAAC